ACGCGCACACAUAAAUCUGUGUUUGUUCGCCCACAUAAAAACUCGGACAGCGGACGCUGUUACAGUGGUACAUCAGUGUUGUUUCGCGUACGCUGUAAUCUAAGUUUUCCAACUAAAACUCGUAAUCAGUCAGCAAGAAAUAAAGAAAGAAAUAAUGCUGACUAAUGAUAAAUCGAAAAUAAACCCUAUAAAAUAAUAUUAUUGAAGUGCAAGACUAUGAAUUAAAAUCAUUUAUAUAAUGUUCGUGACCAACGAGACGAAAAUGAACGAAACACGUUCAACAACAAUAAUAAUAGUAGAGCAUGAGUACUGUGAAAAGUGUCACUUUUUUUGUUCUUUUUAAAUUUGUUCAUGGGUAGACCUAAAACGUCUAUAAAAAAAAAUAUAAUAAACAUGGGAUGAACAAGCAAAGAUACGAUUGGACUCCCAUCAUGAGAGAUAUACAAGACAAGCCCACAACAAUAGAUCCAAUAUUUUAAUAAUGUAACACAAUGGCUGUUCCCACACUACAAAAUAUAUGGAAGAAAAGAACAUUUUUUCGGAGGUAUGAAUCAUCACAUUGUAAUUAAAAUCGAGAAAAUAAAAUCGCUGAUUACAUGGCACAGAAAUAAUUCCAAUAUUUAAAGUAUGUUAUACUUCAAAUCAUU
Molecule: long non-coding RNA, 647 nt
Organism: Adelges cooleyi (spruce gall adelgid)
Lineage: Eukaryota; Metazoa; Arthropoda; Insecta; Hemiptera; Adelgidae
Exons: 3
Source: RefSeq, a predicted model, not a curated record